Molecule: ribosomal RNA, 806 nt
Filed under: uncultured bacterium
Lineage: Bacteria
Description: bacterial SSU rRNA
Rfam family: Bacterial small subunit ribosomal RNA
Source: RNAcentral
AGAGUUUGAUCAUGGCUCAGGACGAACGCUGGCGGCGUGCCUAAUACAUGCAAGUCGAGCGAACGGACGAGAAGCUUGCUUCUCUGAUGUUAGCGGCGGACGGGUGAGUAACACGUGGAUAACCUACCUAUAAGACUGGGAUAACUUCGGGAAACCGGAGCUAAUACCGGAUAAUAUUUUGAACCGCAUGGUUCAAAAGUGAAAGACGGUCUUGCUGUCACUUAUAGAUGGAUCCGCGCUGCAUUAGCUAGUUGGUAAGGUAACGGCUUACCAAGGCAACGAUGCAUAGCCGACCUGAGAGGGUGAUCGGCCACACUGGAACUGAGACACGGUCCAGACUCCUACGGGAGGCAGCAGUAGGGAAUCUUCCGCAAUGGGCGAAAGCCUGACGGAGCAACGCCGCGUGAGUGAUGAAGGUCUUCGGAUCGUAAAACUCUGUUAUUAGGGAAGAACAUAUGUGUAAGUAACUGUGCACAUCUUGACGGUACCUAAUCAGAAAGCCACGGCUAACUACGUGCCAGCAGCCGCGGUAAUACGUAGGUGGCAAGCGUUAUCCGGAAUUAUUGGGCGUAAAGCGCGCGUAGGCGGUUUUUUAAGUCUGAUGUGAAAGCCCACGGCUCAACCGUGGAGGGUCAUUGGAAACUGGAAAACUUGAGUGCAGAAGAGGAAAGUGGAAUUCCAUGUGUAGCGGUGAAAUGCGCAGAGAUAUGGAGGAACACCAGUGGCGAAGGCGACUUUCUGGUCUGUAACUGACGCUGAUGUGCGAAAGCGUGGGGAUCAAACAGGAUUAGAUACCCUGGUAGUCC